GCAAACUUGGUCAUUUAGAGGAAGUAAAAGUCGUAACAAGGUUUCCGUAGGUGAACCUGCGGAAGGAUCAUUACCGAGUACCGGGGCCCUCUAGGUCUCUACUCCCACCCCAUGUGUACCUAUUUCAGUUGCUUUGGCGGGUCGCUGGCUUCGACCACCGUCGGCCUCACAGCUGGCGAGAGCCCGCCAGAGGAUCUUUAAAACUCGUUUUACCGGAGGCUCUGAGUGAAUCUUGAAUAGAAUAUACAAAACUUUCAACAACGGAUCUCUUGGUUCUGGCAUCGAUGAAGAACGCAGC
Molecule: unclassified non-coding RNA, 298 nt
Filed under: uncultured fungus
Lineage: Eukaryota; Fungi
Description: partial contains small subunit ribosomal RNA, internal transcribed spacer 1, and 5.8S ribosomal RNA
Rfam family: Eukaryotic small subunit ribosomal RNA (bases 1-73)
Source: RNAcentral